RNAcentral lists this unclassified non-coding RNA (1037 nucleotides) under Hevea brasiliensis (rubber tree). Lineage: Eukaryota; Viridiplantae; Streptophyta; Magnoliopsida; Malpighiales; Euphorbiaceae. The record is from RNAcentral.
AAGCAGUCCUCUGCUCAUUAAAAAGCCAAAUUAGCCAAAUAAUCCAUUUAUGCCAUUUAAAUAAUACAAACCUACAAUGCAUAAGUAUCAAAUCAAUACAAAUGCAGAGUUUCAUUUUUCCACUCAGUUGGCAUGUUGUUCCCUGGAUAACAUGUUUCAAAUCAAGUAAACCCAUACUGUUGCAAAGGCGGUUUUUGGCCAACAAUGAUAAGAGGGAAGUAGACUUUGUAAGCAAUUGGCAAAUAGAGGCAUAGACAUGCAUGAAAAACCAAGCGUUUGGACUUCUAUCAAGCAGUCCUCCUAAGAAGCAAAGCCAACAGAUAGCACAGUACAGAGUCGACUGAUGAUAGCGCAACAAUGAGCAGUGCCACAAUAACCAGCGUAAGGGUUGCAGUCUUCAGAGUGCUUUGGAAGCUUGGCCAUUCUAUGUACUUCAGCUGACCAGGCUGCUCAACCAGAAAUGAAAAUAGUGAUUUUGUACCCCAGAUGACUUCCUUAAUAAGAGUCAGAAAAAAAGGUUCUUGAGGCAAGUCAUCUUCAUAUCUCAACUGAUAUUGAUUCCUUCCUGCAAACAAAACAUGCUUGUUGCUAGACGGCUUUGCAGGAAUAUAUUGAAUCCUUCCUCCAGGAAUCCUUUGAGAUAGCUUAAUGACAUUGUCAUCAUUAAAUUUGAUUUCAUUACAUCUUCGAAUCCCAAAAGGUUGUUUAGAAUGAUGAAUGACCAAACCUAUGAAAGACAAGGUAAUGAAUUUAAGGAACAAUUAACACAAAAAUUAAUUGACAAAUAAUUUUGCAAUUUAGGCGUGUUUAAGGCAAAAAGAAAUGGACACCAUCCACCUCAUUUCAAGAUUUCCUUUCCUACUAUUUCAUUUUGGAGUAUCAAAUAAUCAGAGGGAAAUUUCUUCAAUUAUAAUUAAAAUUUGGUUUCAGACUCACCUAAAUCAAUUGAACUCCUUUAUAGAAAUAAUUACAUUUCAAUUUGAUUUCUAGAACUAAUGAAAUGGUCACAAAAUUUAGACUCAGAUAAUCAUGAAAAU